AGGUUAUGUAAUGAGGGGAUGGAUGCGGUCUAUAAUGCAAGUCGAGCGGACAGAUGGGAGCUUGCUCCCUGAUGUUAGCGGCGGACGGGUGAGUAACACGUGGGUAACCUGCCUGUAAGACUGGGAUAACUCCGGGAAACCGGGGCUAAUACCGGAUGGUUGUUUGAACCGCAUGGUUCAAACAUAAAAGGUGGCUUCGGCUACCACUUACAGAUGGACCCGCGGCGCAUUAGCUAGUUGGUGAGGUAACGGCUCACCAAGGCAACGAUGCGUAGCCGACCUGAGAGGGUGAUCGGCCACACUGGGACUGAGACACGGCCCAGACUCCUACGGGAGGCAGCAGUAGGGAAUCUUCCGCAAUGGACGAAAGUCUGACGGAGCAACGCCGCGUGAGUGAUGAAGGUUUUCGGAUCGUAAAGCUCUGUUGUUAGGGAAGAACAAGUACCGUUCGAAUAGGGCGGUACCUUGACGGUACCUAACCAGAAAGCCACGGCUAACUACGUGCCAGCAGCCGCGGUAAUACGUAGGUGGCAAGCGUUGUCCGGAAUUAUUGGGCGUAAAGGGCUCGCAGGCGGUUUCUUAAGUCUGAUGUGAAAGCCCCCGGCUCAACCGGGGAGGGUCAUUGGAAAACUGGGGAACUUGAGUGCAGAAGAGGAGAGUGGAAAUUCCACGUGUAGCGGGUGAAAUGCGUAGAGAUGUGGAGGGAACACCAGUGGGCGAAAGGCGACUCUCUGGGUCUGUAACUGACGCUGAGGAGCGAAAGCGUGGGGGAGCGAACAGGAUUAGAUACCCUGGUAGUCCACGCCGUAACGAUGAGUGCUAAGUGUUUAGGGGGGUUUCCCGCCCCCUUAGUGCUGCAGCUUAACGCAUUAAGGCACUUCCGGCUGGGGGAGUACGGUCGCAAGGAACUGAAUACUCAAAGGAACUUGACGGGGGCCGCACAAGCCGUGGAGCAAUGGUGGGAUUUACUUCGAAGGCCAUCGGCGCAGAUCUUAACACAUCAUGACAGUCCUCUGGACAAGUUCAUUGA
This 1030-nucleotide ribosomal RNA is filed under the name Bacillus sp. (in: firmicutes). Its description in RNAcentral is "bacterial SSU rRNA". It matches the Rfam family "Bacterial small subunit ribosomal RNA", at positions 1 to 1004 of the family's 1533-position model. Lineage: Bacteria; Bacillati; Bacillota; Bacilli; Caryophanales; Bacillaceae. The record is from RNAcentral.